GAAGGGGUGUAUUUAUUAGAUAAAAAACCAAUGCCCUUCGGGGCUCUUUGGUGAUUCAUGAUAACUUAACGGAUCGCAUGGCCUUGCGCCGGCGACGGUUCAUUCAAAUUUCUGCCCUAUCAACUUUCGAUGGUAAGGUAUUGGCUUACCAUGGUUUCAACGGGUAACGGGGAAUUAGGGUUCGAUUCCGGAGAGGGAGCCUGAGAAACGGCUACCACAUCCAAGGAAGGCAGCAGGCGCGCAAAUUACCCAAUCCCGACACGGGGAGGUAGUGACAAUAAAUACUGAUACAGGGCUCUUUUGGGUCUUGUAAUCGGAAUGAGUACAAUUUAAACCCCUUAACGAGGAACAAUUGGAGGGCAAGUCUGGUGCCAGCAGCCGCGGUAAUUCCAGCUCCAAUAGCGUAUAUUAAAGUUGUUGCAGUUAAAAAGCUCGUAGUUGAACCUUGGGCUGGCUGGCCGGUCCGCCUCACCGCGUGUACUGGUCCGGCCGGGCCUUUCCUUCUGGAGACCGCAUGCCCUUUCCUGGGUGUGUCGGGGAACCAGGACUUUUACUUUGAAAAAAUU
This 566-nucleotide ribosomal RNA is filed under the name Zopfia rosatii. RNAcentral describes it as "SSU rRNA". It matches the Rfam family "Eukaryotic small subunit ribosomal RNA", at positions 195 to 767 of the family's 1831-position model. Lineage: Eukaryota; Fungi; Ascomycota; Dothideomycetes; Zopfiaceae. The record is from RNAcentral.